AUGCCUUAGCCACUUGUACAUGUUUAUAAUUUUAUAUUUUUCUAUCGCUAAACUGGUCAGUGAUUGCUUAGUAAUACGUCAUAGAGAAUUUACAGUUAAAGCUUUAUUUUGAAAGGACGUCCACUAGGUGUUGUAAAGCAGGAGUAAUUACAGUAAAGCAGAAAGCAGCGCGAAAGGUCCGAUGAGCAGAAAAAGGUGCUCCACGGAAAAUAAUUGAGACAAAACAGUUUUAAGGUGUUCUCAAAGCUGCUGACGGUCACUCUAGCACCUGGUUGAUAAGGAGAACAAGGUUUGUAUUGGAAACUGUUAUUUACAUGUGUUCUGAUAUAGUUAUGAAGUGUAUUAGUUGCUAAUCUGCUAGCUAAAAGUAACAUGGUCUAUCUCCUGGUACAAGGUAAAACGGGAUACAGCUAAAAGGUUUAUAUAAAUACAUAAAUUCAUGGUAAAUAGCACUCUAAUAGAGAUUGUCAAGGUAUAACGGUCAAGGAUUAAAAAGCAAUUCAUAUGGUAAUAAAUAUGGCUAAAAAGGGCUAUAAAUAUAUGGCAUAAAAGGUGUAAGAGUUGCUAAUUGUAUUCCUAUUUGUCUGCAUUGUAGCUCUUACGGUGGAUAUGGUCAAGGCAAGGCAAUAAAACACUUUUCAACCACCAGUUAAAGAGACCAACCUUUAUUUGUCAACCGGGGACGCUACAGUAAGAGCUUGCCUCCAGGCGCAGAACGCUCGCCCGAGCCGGAGGUUCAGUAAGAGCUUGCCUCCAGGCGCAGUAAGCUCGUCCGAGCCGGAGGUCCAGCGAGAGCCGGACGGUCGCCAUUUUGCUGAACAACGCGGUCUCAAGGUUCAACGGCAAUACCCGCAACGUCCAGCAGAUGGCAGAAGGACCACGGUUAAAAGCUCAAAAUGGAAAAUCUACAAGCUGCAUCAGUAAGUCUCAUGGAGAUAAACGAACAGAUUACAAGUUUACAACAAGAAAUUCAAGACUUAAAGAACUCACUUAAAGAUGAAAGUGAAAAUGAAGAGGACAUUAAAGACACAAUUGCAUGCAAAGAGAAAACUUUAAGAAUACUUCAAAAUAAAGUACAAGGCAAGUCAGAUUUGCCAAGACGUUCAGAAAGAGUUAAAGUUCAAACAGAAAAGAUGAUGGCAUAUCAACAAGAAGAAAUAAGCAAAAGGGAAAGAAGAAUUUCAACUCUAUAUGAACAAUGGAAGACAGAAAUACGUGUAACAAGAGAAAAGUUAAAAUCAGACAUCACUGAUAAAGAAAUGUCAGACCUUGCAGACAUCAUAGAGCAAAGGAGAGAUGAUGUCCUCAAGUUGUAUUCAGAGAUGAGAAGCCAAAUAGCACCCCCAAAUGACAUCAGGAGAAAAGUUGAUGCAUGUGAUGCUGUGACUCAUGAAAUUGUGAAAAUAAUUAUGGAAAGAAUAAGUCAUAUUGAGGACUUUGAUGCAGAACGUGAAAGGAUUCGUUUACGGGGACUUUUGGAGCACAACUACGCUCGAUCUAUAUAUGGCUCAACUGCAACAUCAAGCCGCACCGUGGAGUCUUCAACUUCGCAACUCACAACUAAACGAGCGGAUGCAGCGGCAGAACUUGCAGCGAAAGAGGCUGAGUAUGCGAUCACAAUAGAACAGCAAAUGCAACAAGAAAAGAUAAGGGUGUUACAAGAGGAGCACAGGAAGCAAAUCGCAGCUCAAACAUCGGAGUUGGAACGCCUGAAAGCACAGAAGGAAAUGAAAGCAGCUCGAGCCAGGUUCGAAGUAUAUAACAGAGAGUUAUCACAGGCAGGUGAUGUACAGUCAAUGAAAGGUGAACAGGUGGGCUUAUACACCACACCUCAGCAGCCCGCACCAGCACACACAUUCAUUCCUGUGCAAACAGUUCCCUCCAGUGUCACUCAGCUUGCACAAGCAGUUCAAGAUAGCAUUCGAAUGAACAGACUCCCAACACCAGAGCCAACAGUGUUUAAUGGUGAGGCAUUAAACUUUAUUGAAUGGAAAUCUACAUUCGUGUCAUUGAUCGACCAAAAGGACAUCUCAGCUGCAGAUAAACUGUACUAUUUGAAAAGAUAUGUAACAGGUCCAGCUCGCAAAUGCCUCGAAGGGACUUUCUUUAGAAAUGAUGAAGAGGCUUAUAAAGAUGCAUGGGACAAACUAAAUCAAAGGUACGGCCAGCCAUUCGUGAUACAGAAGUCAUUUAGAGAAAAGCUAUCAAACUGGCCUAAGGUACAGCCCAGAGAUGCUGAAGGACUACGGACCUUUGCAGAUUUUGUUAAUGCAUGUGUGCUCGCUAUGCCACAUGUAAAGGGUUUGCAAAUACUGAACGACAGCGAAGAAAAUCAAAAGCUGUUGCACAAACUACCGGACUGGAUAAAUGUGAGAUGGAACAGGCAGGUAACAAAGACUUUAAUGGACGGUGGUGAAUUUCCCAGCUUCAGUGAUUUUGCCUCCUUCCUCUCUACGGAAGCUGAAGUCGCCUGCAACCCAGUUACCUCCAUCCACGCACUCCGCUCCACUGAAACAAAUAGUGACAAAAGGUACACAAGAGAAAUCAAAAGGAGCAAGGCAAGUGUAUUCAACACAAACACAACGGAACAAAGCGACAAAAGGGCAGUAACAAAAACAUCUAAUGGUUUUUCGUGCACAUUAUGUCAAGGCACACAUCAGCUCCACAAGUGUCCAGACCUAAUAAAAAUGACUCUGGAAAACAGAAAGAAAUAUGUAAAGGACAAUAAACUUUGUUACGGUUGUUUGAAACAAGGACACAGUGCUAAGGACUGCAAACGCCGCCUCACCUGUGAAACAUGCACAAAGAGACACCCAAGCUGUCUUCAUGAUGACAACUACAGUAACAGUCAACGGAAAGAAACAAGAGUGAGUGCAGACAAUGCAACUCAAGGUAACGCACCAGAAUCAGCUACAGUCUUGUCACUCAAUGUCGCCAGAUCUGAACAGACAGUCAGUACCUCAAUGAUUGUUCCCGUGUGGCUGUCAACCACUGCAAAUCCACACAAAGAAAAACUGGUCUAUGCAUUAUUAGACACGCAGAGCGACACAGUAUUCAUUGAUCAGGAUGUAGCACGUGAACUGAAAGCAGAUGUCCAUCCAGUUAAGUUGAAACUGACUACUAUGAUGGGUAAUAAUGCAGUUGUCAGUAGUGGAAAGGUGUCUGACCUCUUAGUCAGGGGUUAUAGCUCAGCUGCAGUCUUGAAGCUUCCUACUGCAUACACUAAGGACUACAUACCAGCAAAGAGAGAACACAUACCAACAUGUGAAACGGCAAAACAGUGGAGUCACUUGCUACCCAUUACGAAUGAGAUCCCUCCACUCCUUGAUUGUGAAGUAAGUCUCCUUAUAGGUUAUACUUGUCCUAGAGCUCUUGCACCCAAACAAGUAAUCUUAGGCAAAGAAAAUGAGCCCUAUGCCAUUCACACAGACUUAGGAUGGAGCAUAGUAGGCAACUCAGUACCUUGUAUUGAAACGGACAUGACAAGCAGUCUCUGUCACCGAGUCACCGUAAAAGAAAUCCCUCCUUCCACUCCAGCAGACGCAAUACGCGCUUUGGAAAGAGACUUUAAAGAAGUGGACAGAAAUGAAAAUACUGUGUCACAAGAGGAUUUAGUAUUCCUUCACAAACUCGAACAAGGCAUAACACAAACUGAAAAUGGACAUUAUGAAAUGCCAUUACCAUUUAAAGAAAGGCCACAAAUGCCAGAUAACAGACAACAAGCAGAGAACAGGCUGAAUCAGCUGAAACGCAAAUUCAUGAGAGAUGAAAAAUACAAAGCGGAUUACUUAAAAUACAUGGGCGACAUCAUCAAAAGAGGUGAUGCCGAAGAGACAGAUGAUUAUGGUCACCCAGGGGAGACAUGGUACAUACCACAUCACGGCAUCUAUCAUCCAAAGAAGCCUGAAAAGCUGCGCGUGGUCUUUGACUGCUCUGCAAAGCACAAGGGUACCUGUCUCAACGAACAUUUACUAAACGGCCCUGACAUGAUUAACAAUCUCACUGGUGUUCUUGUGCGCUUCAGACAGCACCAAGUAGCUCUGUUAUGUGAUAUCGAAAAAAUGUUUCACCAGUUCAAGGUCAAAGAAAGUGAUCGCAACUACUUGCGUUUCUUAUGGUGGAAAGACGGAGACAUGAGCAGCCAACCACAAACAUACAGGAUGACGGUGCACCUCUUCGGCGCUGUUUCAUCACCUGGUUGUGCAAACUAUGGACUCAAACGUUUGGCUAAAGAGAACAGUUGCACAUACCCUGUAGGAUCACAGUUUGUAGCCAGAGACUUCUAUGUUGACGACGGAGUCAGUGGCGCAGGGACAGUAAAAGAUGCUAUACAAUUGGCAAAGGAAGCACGCAAACUAUGUGCAAAGGGUGGACUAAGGUUACACAAGUUCGUGUCCAACAGCUCUGAAGUUCUCAACAGUAUUCCAACUUCAGAACAUGCAACAGAUAUCAAAACAAAGGACUUGACUUUUACAGAAACACAGACAGAGAGAGCUCUCGGUAUCUGUUGGAAUGUGGAGAAAGAUUGCUUCACUUUCAACAUCACGUUAAAGGAGCAACCACCAACCAGGCGCGGCAUCCUGUCCACAGUAGCAGCAAUAUACGACCCGCUUGGAUUUAUAGCUCCCUAUGUGCUCAAUGGUAAGAGCAUCCUCCAAGAGAUGUGUCGUCAAGGCACAGACUGGGAUGACCCGCUACCUGAACAUCUCAGGCCACGGUGGGAGUGCUGGAAAGGAGAUCUAAAGAACUUGCAAAAACUGCAAAUAAGUAGAUGUUAUGUUCCUGCAGAUUUUGGAGAUGUAGUGAAAAGAGAAAUACAUCACUUUUCCGAUGCAAGCUUCACAGGAUAUGGACAAUGUUCUUAUCUGAGACUCAUAAACAAAAAUAAAGAGGUUCACUGUACCUUCAUUAUGGGCAAAGCUCGCGUCUCUCCAACAAAGGUCAUCACAAUCCCAAGAUUAGAGCUCACUGCAGCCACGGUGUCAGUUGCUGUGAGCAUCAUGAUGAAAGAGGAACUGCUCUAUGACAACGUCGAGGAAUUCUUUUGGACUGACUCAAAGGUUACUCUUGGAUACAUAAACAACGAAGCAAGGCGCUUCCAUACGUUUGUUGCUAAUAGAGUGCAGAAAAUCCGCAACAAUACUUCUCCACAACAAUGGUUUUACGUGCCCACCAGUGAAAACCCUGCAGACAUGGCUUCAAGGGGCACAUCAGUAAGUGAACUGCUUUCAUCCAACUGGCUUACAGGUCCUUCGUUCCUGUGGCAAAAGGAGAUAAAUCUUCCAACAAAAGAGACUAUUGAGCUUCCAGUAGGAGACCCAGAGGUGAGAAAGGUACAGGCACUAAGCACACAAACUGUUGUACAUAAGAGCCUUAGUGACCACAUCGCAAAGUUCUCAUCUUGGUCCCGUGCAGUCAGCGCAGUUGCACGUCUCAAAAGAUACUUGCUCAAAGACAAAUCAAAGACUCUCACUACUGUAACUGAAAGACAAAAUGCAGAAAUGGUGAUCAUCAAGGAUUUACAAAGACAAACAUAUCAAAAUGAAAUAGAGACACUCAGCAAAGGCAAAGAACUAUCAAGGAACAACAAAAUGUACUAUCUGGAUGUUUUCUUGGACAAAGACAAUGUGCUCAAAGUGGGAGGAAGGCUUCAGAACUCAUCUCUUCCCUACUCAUUCAAACAUCCCACUAUCAUUCCCAGAGAACAUCACAUCGCAAAGCUGAUAAUUGCCCACUGUCACAAAAAGGUCAAUCAUCAGGGAAAGGGCUUCACAAUGAAUGAGAUACGAUCCAGUGGUUAUUGGAUUCCAAACUUAAGUAAAACAGUCACAUCCUACAUUCACCAAUGUGUGUUUUGUCGAAAACAAAGAAGACCUGUGGAAGGACAAAAAAUGAGAGAUCUACCAGCAGAGAGGAUCGAGCACUCUCCGCCUUUCACAUACUGUGGUAUGGACGUUUUCGGUCCAUUCCUGACCAAACAAGCUCGAAAAGAAAACAAAAGGUAUGGCCUACUUUUCACAUGCUUCUAUUCUCGUGCAGUUCAUAUAGAAAUGCUAGAGGACCUAUCAACGGACGCUUUUAUAAAUGGACUCAGAUGCUUUAUUGCUUUGAGAGGCUCUGUCAGACAGAUAAAAUGUGAUCAGGGUACCAACUUUGUAGGUGCUAAAAAUGAACUGAACACAGCACAAAGUGAAAUGGACACUGACAAACUGACAAUCUUCCUUGCAGAGAAACAGUGUGAUUUUGUUCUAAACACACCUCAUGCUAGUCACGCAGGUGGAGUAUGGGAACGACAAAUACGGACUGUGAGAAAUGUUUUUAAGGCAACUUUAGCUCUCACACAAGGUCGACUCACUGAUUCUUCACUCAGAACUUUCUUGUAUGAAGCAGCUGCAAUUGUAAACAGCCGCCCACUAACGACAGACAAUCUCAACGAUCCAAACAGCUUGGAGCCGUUAACUCCAAAUCAUCUCGUCACAAUGAAAACUUCAUCCGCUCUGCCUCCUCCAGGACAGUUCAUUAAAGAGGACUUGUAUGCGCAAAAACGUUGGCGUCAAGUACAGUAUCUUCUCGAACAGUUUUGGAGCAGAUGGAAAAGGGAGUACUUGCAGAACAUAAUGCUCCGACAAAGAUGGAACACACCUAAAAGGAACAUGCAAAUAGGAGACAUUGUCAUGGACAAAGAGGAAGUGCAACCGAGAUCCCAGUGGAAACUUGGAAGAAUCGUGGACACUGUGAAAGACACAGAUGAACUUGUCAGAAAGGUCAAAAUAGCCUUCGCAGACAGAAAUCUUGCCGAGAAUGGACAACGUCUCAAUAAACUGUCUGUAGUAGAACGCCCAGUUCAUAAGUUAGUUCUGCUAUUGGAAGAGAAGUAAAUAUGCAAUGCUUUUGAAAUGUUCUAAAGGGUUUAAAAGGUUUUGGAAAUUAUUUGUGUUUUAUAUGUGUAACAAAAUAAUUUGGUGGGAGUGUAAAUGCCUUAGCCACUUGUACAUGUUUAUAAUUUUAUAUUUUUCUAUCGCUAAACUGGUCAGUGAUUGCUUAGUAAUACGUCAUAGAGAAUUUACAGUUAAAGCUUUAUUUUGAAAGGACGUCCACUAGGUGUUGUAAAGCAGGAGUAAUUACAGUAAAGCAGAAAGCAGCGCGAAAGGUCCGAUGAGCAGAAAAAGGUGCUCCACGGAAAAUAAUUGAGACAAAACAGUUUUAAGGUGUUCUCAAAGCUGCUGACGGUCACUCUAGCACCUGGUUGAUAAGGAGAACAAGCUCUUACGGUGGAUAUGGUCAAGGCAAGGCAAUAAAACACUUUUCAACCACCA
This is an RNA transcript of Acanthochromis polyacanthus (spiny chromis), 7316 nucleotides long. RefSeq lists it as uncharacterized. The transcript has 2 exons. The record is from RefSeq and is a predicted model, not a curated record. NCBI's taxonomy places the organism in Eukaryota, Metazoa, Chordata, Actinopteri, Pomacentridae.